AGCUACAUGCCGAGCGAAAAUUCUCUUACUGUGGAAGAGGAGGAGAACACUAUCCGGAACCAACUGAUUUUCUGCCAAAAGAACAUUUUACACAGAGGAAAGAUUGAAGGCAAAGGCCCCGAGGAAAGAAAGUACUUGACUUGUUAAAGAGAAAAAACUGCCCCUGGAGGCAUUGCAGAUGUGGCUGCUGUGUCACAUUUGUGUCAUUAGGUAGCAGCGAUUAGAGAGGCUAUGUCUAUGCUCAGCGUUCUGUCCCAUGAACAUUUGAAUGUUUAAUAGUCUGACUCUCCUGUUUUGUGGACUUGGCAUCUGUUUUCCUUCACCGGUAUCUGGGAGAGUGGGUGGGCCUUAUGAGUGGGCUUUCUGACCCUCGCGCUGGGCUGGGCUGGCCACUAGGGGUCUGAAGGGACAGUGGGAAGGUAGAGGGUGCCUUCACCAGGAGCAGCCUUCAUUAGUGAGUUUUAAGAGCCUGUGAGAGGAUGGAUCAGGUCUGGUGUGUGCUGGUUCAUGCUGCACACCGUGUCAGGAUCACGAAGGAAAGGACUGGGGAAGGGUUUGCUGGUGUCUCAGUUAAUAGCAAUAACGGCAGCCACUAUUGUGUUCUUGAUUCUGUGCCAAGCAUUCUUGUUAUUUAAAAAAAGAGAGAGAGAGAAGUCCAGGUCACUGAACAGAGGUUAAAGAAGGGGAGAGUGGGAGGAUCUUAAAUCAGGUAGCAGAUAGGACUGAACAAUGCAGAGAUUUUAAAACCAGGCUAAGGAAUUUCCAUGAGAGAGUUUUCAGCGGCUAACUGAUUCGACCGUUCUCUCUCAUAUCUACCUCUUUCCCAUUUCUUAAUAGCAUUACAGCCUUAAUUUUGACUAAAUUAUUAAUCACUAUUUACACGGUGGAUACAGAACAUCUGAGAUAGGUCUCAGUUAAUUCAGAAAGUUUUUUUUUUUUUUUUUUUUGCCACGAUUGAGGACCUGGGCCCAUGACACAGCCUCAGGAAGUGCUGACGACGUGUGCCCAAGGUGGUCAGGGCACAGCUUGGUUUUACACAUUUUAGGGAGGCAGGAGACAUCAAUCAAUACACGUAAGAAGUACAUUGGUUCGGUCUGGAAAGGCAGGACAACUUGAAGCAAAGGCAGGAAGACUCAAAGCAGGGAGGGGCCUUCUAGGUCACAGAUAGGUAGAGACAAGUGAUUGCAUUCUUUUGAGUUUCUGAUGAGCCUUUCCAAAGGAGGCAAUCAGAUAUGCAUCUAUCUCAGUGAGCAGAGGAAUGACUUUGAAUAGAAUGGGAGGCAGGUGUGCCCUAAGCAGCUCCCAGCUUGAGUUUUUCCUUUAGCUUAGUGAUUUUGGGGGCCC
This 1344-nucleotide long non-coding RNA is filed under the name Homo sapiens (human). Its description in RNAcentral is "HSALNT0168376". The stretch from base 157 to 288 matches the Rfam family "Small nucleolar RNA SNORA17". The record is from RNAcentral. Lineage: Eukaryota; Metazoa; Chordata; Mammalia; Primates; Hominidae.